UUCCACUCGUUGGGCAGAUGAUGCAUCAGC
This 30-nucleotide non-coding RNA is filed under the name Mus musculus (house mouse). The record is from RNAcentral. Lineage: Eukaryota; Metazoa; Chordata; Mammalia; Rodentia; Muridae.